UCUGUAUUCCCCCGCCGAAUCAAACCCCUAUCGCUAAAUUCACUCUCCUUCUUCUUCCUCUGUAUCUAUAAGACAUAAACAGCAACACCAAACACCAACAAAACCCUAAUUUUUAAAUUUUCAUCUUCUUGCCUCACUCACAAGUCACAAGACUCAGAACUAUCUUGAAACUAGGGUUUUAUCUUAUCCAUUUCUCUAUUUUUUCCGAGUUUCAAGGAGAAAUGCUCAAAGAAGAUUCUACGACGGAGCAACACUUGUUCAAUCCCUCUUCUCUCCUCCACUCCGGCUAAGCCUUCUAAACCUUCUUCCUUUCCCAGAGGGGUUUUAAUAGCUCCGGCCAAAAACCUUAUCAUCGUCUCCGUUCAAUUUCUCUACCUAUUCAAUGCAGCAGAUUACUACAAUUUGUUUCUCUACUACGCCCAGUGCUGCUUUCUCGGCGUAUUCGUACCAAAACCUUAUCCCUAAUUCGCCGCCGUCGGUUCGAUUCGCGACUUGCCGAUGCUCAAUUGACGAUAGUGGAACUCGAGCUUGGGUUAGACGAACCGGAACGAAGUCCAAAUGGUUCAAUUCGGGUUCCCAAGACGCGGAGGAGAAAGAUUCUCCGAGUAAGCCGACGAGAACCAAUCGUAGAUAUCGGAGUUCUAACGGCGGUGGUGGAGGAUUGGUUCGUAAUCCAGAUUUGUUGAAAAUUCCAGGAGUUGGUCCGAGGAAUCAGAGAAAGCUCGUUGAAAAUGGAAUUGAAGGUGUUGCAGAGCUCAAGCAAUUGUACAAAGAUAAGUUUUGGGAAGCUAGUCAGAAAAUGGUUGAGUAUCUUCAAAGCUCUGUUGGGAUUAAACAUCGGAACCACGCCGAGAGCAUAACAACGUUCAUCAAACAAAGCGUGGACGAGGAAGAACUCAAGGAUUCUUCUGAGACUAAGCCAAUUCCUAAGAAACGUUUGACCUUCUGUGUUGAAGGGAACAUUAGUGUUGGGAAGACUACGUUUCUUCAGAGAAUAGCUAAUGAAACCAUUGAGCUUCGUGACCUUGUUGAGAUUGUUCCUGAACCUAUUGAUAAAUGGCAGGAUGUUGGACCUGACCAUUUUAAUAUCUUAGAUGCUUUCUAUGCUGAGCCUGAGAGGUAUGCUUAUACUUUCCAGAACUAUGUGUUUGUCACUCGGCUGAUGCAGGAGAAAGAGUCUUCCUCUGGGAUCAAACCUCUUCGGUUGAUGGAGCGUUCUGUGUUUAGUGACCGAAUGGUGUUUGUACGAGCUGUUCAUGAAGCGAAAUGGAUGAACGAGAUGGAGAUAAGCAUAUAUGAUUCUUGGUUCGAUCCUGUGGUUUCUUGUUUACCAGGACUUGUUCCUGAUGGGUUCAUUUACUUGAGGGCGAGUCCCGACACUUGUCACAAGCGGAUGAUGUUAAGGAAACGGGAGGAAGAAGGUGGAGUCUCGUUAAAGUACCUCCAAGAUCUUCAUGAGAAGCAUGAGAGCUGGCUCCUUCCGUUUGAGAGCGGGAACCAUGGUACAUUCUCUGUUAGUAAACCACCUGUUCACAUGGACAACGCUCUUCAUCCUGAUAUAAGGGAUCGCGUGUUUUACUUGGAAGGAAACCAUAUGCAUUCUAGCAUCCAGAAGGUUCCUGCAUUGGUACUUGACUGUGAACCCAAUAUCGACUUUAGCAGAGACAUUGAAGCAAAGAGACAGUAUGCACGCCAGGUUGCAGAGUUCUUUGAAUUUGUGAAACAGAAGCAAGAAACAUCACCAGAAAAAGGCAAUGGAAGCGACUCAAGCCCACCUCAGGUGUUGAUGCCACAUAAUGGGGAUCUUUGGAUACCAUCAGACGGUAAUCAUUUCCCGGGAGCUGCCCUACAAUCUUUAGAUUUAAGAAAGGCGAUGUCGCUUAUGACCAGAUCACCGUCCUCAUGAUUAUCGUUUUCACCACCAUCCGCUGAUCCUGAUUUUUCUCGGCUUAAGGAUCGCUAGAGAUUGAUUAAUGAAUGUCAUUAGUAAGAGGAGGAUGCAGUUUUGAGGAGAAACUCAGAAACGCAGAGUUAGCUGGUUUCAAAGCUGCCUUAGUUCAUGAUGAUGUGCACCGCGACAUCUUGACACCAAGUAAACUCAUGUUUUCCUGAGGUAAAUAACUCGAUAAUUCAUCUAGUUUUCUCGACCAAAGCAAACGGAGGAAAAACUUAACACGUACGCUGCUUUGGGCCAUAAUGCCAAAGUACUGUUAGUUCCUAGUUUAAUCAACUCUGAGUCAUGGAUCCUUGCUGCACCAACCAUCACAUUAUGUGCUAUCGCCAUGAUUGCUACAUUUGCCCCUUGCAGAUGACCGAGAGCUACAUCUUGUCAGUCUUAGUUUAUUUCCAAUAUUUCUUCUUUUUUUUUGUUUUGUAAAUUUGUUUUUCCACUUAAUUAAGGUAAUGACUUCUCUAAACAAACAAUAAGUACAUUUCAUGGCUCC
RNA transcript from Capsella rubella, 2444 nucleotides. RefSeq lists it as uncharacterized. The transcript is spliced from 6 exons. The record is from RefSeq and is a predicted model, not a curated record. Lineage: Eukaryota; Viridiplantae; Streptophyta; Magnoliopsida; Brassicales; Brassicaceae.